RNAcentral lists this ribosomal RNA (253 nucleotides) under uncultured bacterium. Its description in RNAcentral is "partial 16S ribosomal RNA". It matches the Rfam family "Bacterial small subunit ribosomal RNA", at positions 524 to 776 of the family's 1533-position model. The record is from RNAcentral.
UACAGAGGCCUCGAGCGUUAGGCGGAGUCACUGGGCUUAAAGCGUGUGUAGGCGGACUUCUAAGCACCUUGUGAAGUCCCACGGCUUACCCGUGGAACUGCUCGGUAUACUGGUUGUCUUGAGCCACCUAGGGGCGAGUGGAACAAAUGGUGGAGCGGUGAAAUGCGUAGAUAUCAUUUGGAACGCCAAUGGUGAAAACAACUCGCUGGGGGUGUGCUGACGCUGAGACACGAAAGCCAGGGGAGCGAACGGG